RNAcentral lists this long non-coding RNA (6441 nucleotides) under Zostera marina. RNAcentral's name for it is "long non-coding RNA (ZMAR_LNC006115)". Lineage: Eukaryota; Viridiplantae; Streptophyta; Magnoliopsida; Alismatales; Zosteraceae. The record is from RNAcentral.
UUUAAUUGAGUGAUUAACUUAUUCAUAAUACACUAUUAUAUAUACACAAAUUACUAGUUAAUUACUUUAACUAAUUCUAAAACUUGUUGGACUUGUGGGCUGGACUUCUAUUUGAUCCGAGUCCUGGUCCAACUUGACAAUUGUGUAUUUUAAUGAAUCUGCAAAAAUACCCAAGAGUUAUUAGUAUUUACACAUAGGUAUUUUAUUUGAUUUGUGAUUUAUAUAAAAGUCCUUGGAUUAAUAUAAAACUAUAAUAUUAAAACAAUUGGAACUUUUAUACUUAAGACCUCUGUAAAAACAUUACAGUAGUAAUUUAGAACCUUUUAUUAUUUGUAUUAUACUUUAGGUCCAACUAACGAAUUAAUUGGAACUUUUGCAUAUAAAACCCCUGUUGGUUAAUACAAAACAGUUUAUUCUGUUUUGUAGAAACCUUAGGACUUUUUAUAUUUAACUUAGGUCCUAACUUAGUUUCUUAGGGUAAAUUUCUAUUUUACCCUAGAUUUCAGCUGUAUUUCUUAUACUCCCCCCUCAAGCCUUGGAAUACACAUUGUGGAUUCCUAGCUUGACAGAGAAUGCUGAAAUUUCAUUUUCACCUAAGGAUUUGUGAAAAUGUCUGCAAGUUGGUAUUUUGUGCCAACUUGCUUUAGGAGAAUUAUCCCUUUUUCUAUCUUUUCUCUUAUUGAAUGACAUGAGAUUUCUAUGUGUUUGCUUCUCUCAUGAAAUACUGGAUUGUUGGCUAGGUAUAUAGCUGAUUUAUUAUCACAAUACAAUGAUGUUGGUAUUGUUAUUUUUAGCUUUAAGUCUUUGAAAAGCUGAUGCAGCCACAGUAUCUCACACUGAGCUUUACUGAUGGCUCUAUAUUCAGCUUCACAUGAUGAUAAAGAAACUGUAUCUUGUUUCUUUGAUUUCCAGGAUAUUAAAGAUGUUCCUAAGAACAUACAAUAACCUGAUAAUGAUUUUCUACUUAUUUGGCAUGAAGCCCAGUCUGAGUCACAGUACCCAUGGAGAUCCAUUUGGUUUUCAGUUUUGUAUAAAAUACCCUGUCCAGGAGCAUUUUUGAGAUAUCUUAUUACUUUAAGUAAAACUUGAAGAUGAAUCUCGUUUGGCUUUCCCAUAAAUUGGCUUAACCAAUGGACAGAAAAGCUUAGGUCAGGUCUAGUUAUGUUUAGGUAGAUUAAUUUACCCACUAGUGACCUAUAGAAUGUUGGGUCUGUUAAAUCUUUUGCCUUUUCAUUUUUUAGAUUUAUGUGCCUCUCCAUGGGUAUUUUUGAUGGCUUUGCAUCUAUAAGGCCACUUUCUUCUAGUAUGCCAAGUGCAUACUUUCUUUGGGAUAGAUAUAUACCCUCUGAUGGGUAUGAUACUUCAAUACCCAAGAAGUUGGAUAGUCUUCCUAAAUCUUUGAUUUUGAAAUUUUUUUCAAUAUUUUUCUUUAUUAAGAAUAUUUCUGCUUCAUUGCUUCCUGUGAUGAUAAUAUCAUCAACAUAUACUAACAGAUAUAUAAUAUUUCCAUUAUUAUUUUUUACAAACAAUGAAUAGUCAGAUGGUGUUUGAAUGAAUUUCAUUUCAAUGAGGACUCCUUUUAAUUUUGCAAACCAAUUCCUAGAUGCCUGUUUUAGGCCAUAAAGGGAUUUGUUUAGCUUGCAAACUCUUUUAUCUCCUUCAUUGAGGAGACCUUGUGGAGGUUUGAGAUACACCUCUUCAUGGAGAUCUCCAUGAAGAAACGCAUUGUUGACAUCUAACUGGUAGAUGUUCCAUUUCUUAAUUGCUGAAAUUGCAAUUAUUGCUCUAAUUGUAGUCAUUUUUACUACUGGAGCAAAAGUCUCAUAAUAAUCAAACCCUUCUUUUUGGGUGAAACCCUUAGCUACAAGCCUAGCCUUGUAUCUUUCUAUUUCACCAUUGGGUUUAUAUUUGAUUUUAUAAAUCCACUUGGAUCCUACUAGUUUUCUAUCAUUAGGAAGCAUGGUUAGUGACCAAGUUUGGUUUGAAUGGAGUGCUUCCAUUUCUUUGUUCAUUGCUUCUACCCAUUUUGGGUUUUUAGAAGCCUCUAGAUAAGAUCUAGGCUCUUCAUUAAUAGAUAUUUGAUUUAAGAAAUUUUUAUGAUUUUUUGUAAUCCUUUGGUAUGAUACUUGGUUACAUAUUGGGUAUUUCCCUUUUUUAGUAUUUCCAUAUUCCUUAUCUUUCUCAAGGAAAAAAUCCUUGUAAGCUUCAGGUAUAUGUAUUACCCUCCCUGUUCUGGUUGUUGUUAUUUUUUUGUUAAUUUUCAGAGAUUUUUCUGGAAUUUGGCAGGGUAUAUCUUGAUGCAACUUAUCCAGCUCACUUCUGAUUGGAGAAGUGCUGGUGUUUGUUGUUUCAGGGUUACUCACUUGUUGUUUUGUUUGGAUUUGCAUCCUAUCAUUAUUCUGAAAAAAUUCAGAAUUUGUGAUAUUUUCAGUAUUUCUGAAAAUUUCUGAAUUUUGUUCUUGAUUCAACUUAUCCAGCUCACUUCUGAUUGGAGAAGUGCUGGUGUUUGUUGUUUCAGAGUUACUCACUUGUUUUUCUGUUUGGAUUUGCAUCCUAUCAAUAUUCUGAAAAAAAUCAGAAUUUGUGAUAUUUCCAGAUUUUUUAGAAUUUUCAGUAUUUCUGAAAAUUUCUGAAUUUUGUGUUUGAUGAUGAUCCUGGAAUAUUCCAGCACUUCUAUCAUCAUGUUGGCUAUCCACUUGCCUCAUAUUAAUACUCUUCAAGCGGCUAGCUCUGUUUGUAUUUAGACUUUUUAAUUCAGAUUGAUCUGAAUUUAGUCCAUUAUUUUGCUUUUCUGAAUUUUGAGAAGCAUUUUUAUUCUCUGAUCUUAUAUCUUGAUGAAAGUCAGAGUUUUGCAUUUCAUUUUCAUCCUGAUUAUGAAUUUCAUAGUCAUAAAGAUUUUUAUUUGAUUCAUCAUGAAAUAAGCAUAUAUCAUUAUAAAUUUUUUGAAAAUGGUUAACAUUUUUAUCAUUUCCUAGAUCUAUAUUAUCCUUGAAUGGGAAUAUAGAUUCCCUAAAAGAAACAUCUCUAGAAACAAAAAAUUUCAUGUCUGAUACUCUUAGUAUUAGAUAACCUUUGACACCCUUAGGGUACCCCAUAAAUAUGCCUUGAAAAGCCCUAGGUGAGAAUUUAUUAUCUCUUUGUGUUGUUGAUGCAUAUCAUAGACAACCAAAGGAUUUUAGGUUCUCAAAAUCUGGAAUUUUUUUAUGGAUGAUUUCAUAUGGGGUUUUGUUUUCAAUUGAUUUGGAUGGAAUCCUAUUUAUUAGGUGAGCUGCAGUUAAUAUGCACUCUCCCCAAAAUUUUAAUGGAAUAUUUCCUUGAAGGUGUAAAGCCCUUGCUACAUUCAAAAGAUGUCUAUGUUUUCUUUCCACUCUUGCAUUUUGUGCAGGAGUGUAUGGACAAGAAAAUUGUUGGGAAAUUCCAUGUUUUUCUGUCAUUUUUUUAAAAUUAUUGGAGGUAAAUUCACCUCCAUUAUCACUUCUAAUGAUUUUUAUUUUAGUAUUAUAUUGAUUUUUAACCAUUUUAUAAAAUGUCUCUACACAUUCAACGGUCAUUGAUUUAUUUUUAAUAAGGUAUAUCCAUGUUCCUCUACUUAAGUCUUCUAUUAUAGUUAAAAAAUAAUUAUAGCCAUCAUGAGAUAUAAUUGGGAAUUUUCCCCAAAUAUCUACAUGUAUAAGAUCAAAAAUAUUUUUAGACUUUGAGGAACUAAUAGCAAAUUUGAGUUUUGCUUGUUUUGCUAGUGGGCAUAUAUUACAAUCAUAUUGAAUGGAUUUUAAUCUGUUUGAAAGAGAUUCUUGUUGAGAAGAAAAUAAUUUUUCAUUAUUUUUACUUAAAACUGAUUUUUGUUGACAAGAGUUGGAAUUUGCAUAAUUUUUCUCAAAAACAGAAUUUUUAUUCAACAUUGAAUCCAAAACAGAAUUUUUAUUUUUAUUCAUACAAUCAUGACUAUUACAAGCAUUAUUCUUACAAACAUUGCUAUUACAAAUACAAUUUUCAUUUUUAUAUCUAAUAUUAUAUUUGGAAGCUAAUAUCUUCAUCUUCUCCGAUGAGAUGUGUCCCAAUCUAUGGUGCCAUGUCCUGAAACUAAUGGCUGAGUUUACUAGGAAAUAGUGAGGGGUGAAGAAAUACAAUCCAUUGCUUGAUUCACCCUUGCCAAUCACUUUCCCGGAUUUGUUUUCCUGAAAUUCAAAGCAAUGAUCAUCAAAAAUAACUUUAAUGUCAUUGUCUAAGGUUAAUUUGCUUAUAGCUAUUAGAUUAACCUUAAAUUCAGGGAUGUAUAAAACAUUCUUAAGUGUUAAACUAUCUGAAAUCUUAAUAUAUCCAACACCUUUAACUAGUAGAGUUUUGCCACUAGGUAUAGUAACAAAAUGGUUAUACUCUUGAAUUAAAGGUUUUGUAAAAAGGUGUAUGCUACCAGUCAUGUGCUGUGAAGCACCAGAAUCAACAAUCCAUUUAUCUAUAUGUGAACUAAUAUUAAAAGAAAAUGAUGAAAUAUUACCAUUAUUAUUUGCUCUUGUUGAAGAGAUUAGUUCUUUGAAGAGUAGAAUCUCUUCUUGGCUGAGUGCUAGUUGUUGAUUACUUGUAGAGGUGACUUGGUUAGCAACAUCUGAAUUUUCUUGGGUUUUCUUUCCUUGAAACUUUUUCUGAAUUUUUUUCUCGGGUCUUCCAACUAAAUGAUAGCAUUUUUCCCGGGUAUGGCCAUAAUACUUGCAAUUAUCGCAAUAGAAUCUUGUAUCCAAUUUUUUUCCAUUCUUUGAAAACAUUAUCUUAUUUUUUUCAGUUGUACUCUUAUCUUUAACAAAGAAGGCAGAUUCUACUUUCUCAUUGAUUUGUUCUCUGAACUUAUUCCUUUGCUUUUCUUCUUGGAGUACUAAUCCAAGAACUUUGUUUAUAUUAGGGAGUUUCUCUAAAGACAAUAUCUGAGUUCUUAGAUUGUAGAAAUUCUCAUUGAGACCUAGUAGAAAUUGAUGAAUCAUGUCAUUAUCUUCUUUCUCUUGGUAUAGCUUUUUGCAUCCUUUGCAAAAUUUUUCUUUUAUCUCAUCAAUUUGGGUCAAUUGAUCCCAAAUUGAUCUAAAUUUGUCAUAAUAUUCAGAAGAUGACAAUGUCCCUUGUUGUAGGCAACAUAAUUCAUAUUUUAUUUGGCUGAUCUUAGGGGCAUUACUUUGUUUAUAUCUGUUUUCUAAAUCUUUCCAAAUCUGAAAUGCAUCAUUUGUAUACAUUAAAGUGGACUGAAUUUGGGGAGAUACCGAAUUUAACACCCAUGCUAAAACCAAACCAUUAACAAUCUUCCAAAUAUUGUAUUCCCUACUAUCACAAUCAUCGGGCAUCCUAAUCUGGCCAUUUAUGAAGGAAUCUUUCCUUCUUGAAACUAAUGAGACUUUCAUCCCAUUAGACCAAGUUAUGUAAUUGGAUUCUCCAAUUAACCUAUCUGGAACUAACACAGCUCCCGGAUGAUCCCCGGAAGUCAAGAAAAAGGGGGACUCAGGGUCCUGAAGUGGAGAUGCGUACCUUUGAGCUCUAUGCUUUUUAAAGUAUGAGCUAUUGUAUAAAUUUUCAUGAUCGUAUCUCUUAGCUUUUGUUUUUCCAGUGGAGCCAGAGGAUGAAUGCACUGAUGAGGGCGAAUUGCGAAUUGGGUUGCUGGACUUGACAGUGGAGCCAGCGGGAGGAAUUACAUCAACAGCGGCCGGAUUUGCGGAAGCGGGUGGCCUGCAGGCCAGAGCAUCGGCCAGAGGAUCUUUAGACGAAGAUACCAUGUUAAAAACUGGCGCCGGAGAUCGUGGUGGCACUGAUGAACGUCGAGAACGACUCCGGCAGAAUCUUUACGGAGGAAGAGCGCAAAUCGCGCUAGGGAUUUUCGCCCAAGAAGAUUGGGGAAAAUACCUGAAAAAACCAACGAAAAGAGAGAGAAAGAAAAGAGGGAAAAGAGGGGAAUUUGAUUUUGUAUUAUUAAAUCCAAAAUGUAAUUUGUUUGAUUUAAUUGAGUGAUUAACUUAUUCAUAAUACACUAUUAUAUAUACACAAAUUACUAGUUAAUUACUUUAACUAAUUCUAAAACUUGUUGGACUUGUGGGCUGGACUUCUAUUUGAUCCGAGUCCUGGUCCAACUUGACAAUUGUGUAUUUUAAUGAAUCUGCAAAAAUACCCAAGAGUUAUUAGUAUUUACACAUAGGUAUUUUAUUUGAUUUGUGAUUUAUAUAAAAGUCUUUGGAUUAAUAUAAAACUAUAAUAUUAAAACAAUUGGAACUUUUAUACUCAAGACCUCUGUAAAAACAUUACAGUAGUAAUUUAGAACCCUUUUAUUAUUUGUAUUAUGCUUUAGGUCCAACUAACAAAUUAAUUGGAACUUUUGCAUAUAAAACCCCUGUUGGUUAAUACAAAACAGUUUAUUCUGUUUUGUAGAAACCUUAGGACUUUUUAUAUUUAACUUAGGUCCUAACUUAGUUU